This 72-nucleotide transfer RNA is filed under the name Tannerellaceae bacterium. Its description in RNAcentral is "tRNA-OTHER". It matches the Rfam family "tRNA". From Rfam's summary of the family: Transfer RNA (tRNA) molecules are approximately 80 nucleotides in length. Their secondary structure includes four short double-helical elements and three loops (D, anti-codon, and T loops). Lineage: Bacteria; Pseudomonadati; Bacteroidota; Bacteroidia; Bacteroidales; Tannerellaceae. The record is from RNAcentral.
GCCUCUUUCGCUCAAUUGGCCGGAGCGCUUGAUAGGUUUAUCGGGGCGUUGGUUCGAAUCCGACAGGAGGCU